Non-coding RNA from Pelobates cultripes (western spadefoot toad), 315 nucleotides. NCBI's taxonomy places the organism in Eukaryota, Metazoa, Chordata, Amphibia, Anura, Pelobatidae. The record is from the annotation of a GenBank genome assembly.
CUCCUGUCUUGUUCUCGGCCACUGGUACUCCUAACAUCUUGAAUAAUGCUACUGUUUUGUUGCUGCUAUGGGGUUCUGCGCCAGGUUUCUCUAUUGUCAGGAAGUCGUCCAGAUAGUGAAUAAUUACUGGACAACAGCAGAUAUUUAGUAGUGGCCAGAAAAGUGUUUCUGCAAACAGGUCGAACAAUUUGGGGCUGCUUUUGGCCCCGAAUGUCAGACGGUUAGCAAAGUAGUAUAUGCCUUUCCAACUUACGCCAUGCAAAUGCCAUAGAGACGGGUGCAAAGGGAGCAGCUUGAAAGCGUUUGAAAUGUCGG